Molecule: ribosomal RNA, 1447 nt
Filed under: uncultured bacterium
Lineage: Bacteria
Description: bacterial SSU rRNA
Rfam family: Bacterial small subunit ribosomal RNA
Source: RNAcentral
GACGAACGCUGGCGGCGUGCUUAACACAUGCAAGUCGAACGGAAAGGCCCUGCUUUUGUGGGGUGCUCGAGUGGCGAACGGGUGAGUAACACGUGAGUAACCUACCCUUGACUUUGGGAUAACUUCAGGAAACUGGGGCUAAUACCGGAUAGGAGCUCCUGCUGCAUGGUGGGGGUUGGAAAGUUUCGGCGGUUGGGGAUGGACUCGCGGCUUAUCAGCUUGUUGGUGGGGUAGUGGCUUACCAAGGCUUUGACGGGUAGCCGGCCUGAGAGGGUGACCGGCCACAUUGGGACUGAGAUACGGCCCAGACUCCUACGGGAGGCAGCAGUGGGGAAUAUUGCACAAUGGGCGGAAGCCUGAUGCAGCAACGCCGCGUGCGGGAUGACGGCCUUCGGGUUGUAAACCGCUUUCGCCUGUGACGAAGCGUGAGUGACGGUAAUGGGUAAAGAAGCACCGGCUAACUACGUGCCAGCAGCCGCGGUGAUACGUAGGGUGCGAGCGUUGUCCGGAUUUAUUGGGCGUAAAGGGCUCGUAGGUGGUUGAUCGCGUCGGAAGUGUAAUCUUGGGGCUUAACCCUGAGCGUGCUUUCGAUACGGGUUGACUUGAGGAAGGUAGGGGAGAAUGGAAUUCCUGGUGGAGCGGUGGAAUGCGCAGAUAUCAGGAGGAACACCAGUGGCGAAGGCGGUUCUCUGGGCCUUUCCUGACGCUGAGGAGCGAAAGCGUGGGGAGCGAACAGGCUUAGAUACCCUGGUAGUCCACGCUGUAAACGGUGGGUACUAGGUGUGGGGUCCAUUCCACGGGUUCCGUGCCGUAGCUAACGCUUUAAGUACCCCGCCUGGGGAGUACGGCCGCAAGGCUAAAACUCAAAGGAAUUGACGGGGCCCCGCACAAGCGGCGGAGCAUGCAGAUUAAUUCGAUGCAACGCGUAGAACCUUACCUGGGUUUGACAUGGAUCGGGAGCGCUCAGAGAUGGGUGUGCCUCUUUUGGGGUCGGUUCACAGGUGGUGCAUGGCUGUCGUCAGCUCGUGUCGUGAGAUGUUGGGUUAAGUCCCGCAACGAGCGCAACCCUUGUUCACUGUUGCCAGCACGUUAUGGUGGGGACUCAGUGGAGACCGCCGGGGUCAACUCGGAGGAAGGUGGGGAUGACGUCAAGUCAUCAUGCCCCUUAUGUCCGGGGCUUCACGCAUGCUACAAUGGCUGGUACAGAGAGUGGCGAGCCUGUGAGGGUGAGCGAAUCUCGGAAAGCCGGUCUCAGUUCGGAUUGGGGUCUGCAACUCGACCUCAUGAAGUCGGAGUCGCUAGUAAUCGCAGAUCAGCAACGCUGCGGUGAAUACGUUCCCGGGGCUUGUACACACCGCCCGUCAAGUCAUGAAAGUUGGUAACACCCGAAGCCGGUGGCCUAACCGUUGUGGGGGAGCCGUCGAAGGUGGGACUGGUGAUUAGGACU